This is a non-coding RNA of Vicugna pacos (alpaca), 2567 nucleotides long. The record is from RefSeq and is a predicted model, not a curated record. NCBI's taxonomy places the organism in Eukaryota, Metazoa, Chordata, Mammalia, Artiodactyla, Camelidae.
CGGAAGUGCCUUUCUUUAACAGCAAGUGUCAUAGAGUUUAAGCGGGAAGGAAAAAUAAACUGCAACUCAGCUCAAAUGAAAAGGAGAAAAGCUGAAAGGUUAGAUAUUCAGAAGCCUCAGAAAUAAUGUAAAAAAAAUUCAGUGAAAAGUCUCACUUCCACUUCUAUCCACCAUCUACUUAGUUCCCACUCAACCAGAGGUCUUUCCUGUGUCUUUGAACUUGAGCUAGUGCCCUCUUCAGAAAUCCUCAAGGAUUCUAAAUAUCAUCAGUGAUGUCUUGAGGGAUGCCAUUAUGGAAACUUAAAGAGUCUACUUUAAACAGAACAGCCCUGCUUUUAUAGAUGUAUAUUUAAUAUAUGUGAUGUAUAUAAUAUAUAUUUUAAAUAUAAUAUAUAUGUGAUGUAUGAGGUAUAAACGCAUGCAUGUAUGAUAUGUAACGAUGUAUAUGGUGAAGACUUCAAAAGGCACAAGAGAUUUUAUAGUAAAAAUAAAUCUUCAUACUUUUGUUCUUCAGUCUCCCAUUUGCCUUCCCUAGGAACAAUUUCUGUUACCUACUUCCUGAGUUGAAGUGACAAUCUAUGUACAUAUAAACAUAUGUACUGGUGAUAUGUUUAAUUAGUUCAUCACUCAUGGACAAUUAGUUUAUUCCCAACCUUUUGCUAGUAUAAACAAUGGCACAAUGAAUAUCCUUGCCUAUAUAUCAUUUUACACAUAUGCAAGUAUCUAUAAAACGGAUUUCUAGAAUUGGAAUAGCCAGAUAAAAAGGGCAUAUGCCUACUACCUUUUGAUAAAUAGUGCCAAAUUGCCUUCCAUGGGAUUGUACCAAUUUCUGCUUGUCCUAUCACUAUAGAAGCAGGCUUGGCUUUUCACGUUCUUACCAAUGCAAUGUAUGAUCAAAUUUUGGUUCCUUAUUACUCUGAUGUGUGAAAAAUGAUAUCUCAUUGUAAUUACUGAGUAUUUCUCUUAUUAUGAGAGAGGUUUACAUCUUUCACAUGUUUAAAAGCCACUUGCGUUCCCUUUUCUGUGAACUGAAUUCUUCAUUUUCAAAUGGGCUAUCAAUAUUUUUCCUACUGUUCGGUGGAAUCCUUGAACUUUUAAAGGAAAUGUAUCUACAGUACAUAAUAGAGUUAAGAUUACUGGCUUCUGCUGCUAAAACCCAAAGUUUGAAAAUCACUUUGCAACCCAGCCUUGCUAAUUAAAUCCUGUUCCCUUAUUCCCUUGGGAAUCUCUGCCACUUAAAGCCCUGACAGUACCAUCUUCUCUGUGUGGUUGAAACUCCAAGCUAGAGUUUCUCAACCAUGGCACUGUUGACAUUUGGUUGGAGAAUUCAUUGUUGUGAGGAGUUGUCCUCUGCAUUGUAGAAUGUUUAGCAGUAUCCUUGGCCUCUGUCUGCUGAAUGUCACUAGUACAUCCUCUCCCCAAGUUGUGACAACCAAAAGUGUCUCUAGAUUGUCAAAUUUCCCCUGGAGGAAAGGGUCAAAGUCACUCCAUUUGAGAACCAUUGGUCUAGAUCUUUCUGUUGCUGGUGGAAGGUAGGCUGCAUUACCAAACUGUCUAUUUGCUUUGGUUUGGAAGUCCCAAACAGCUUUCCAAAUGAUGUUUGAUAAGGUGUGGAAUACUAAAUUCUGUAGGGAAGUACAACGCUUAUGUUAUAACCUAAUCAAAAAGACAACACAUGAAGCUGUGAAAAACUAACAUCUGCUAAACUUGUGGUUAUAUGUAGGAAAUUUAAAAAGAAGCACUGGAAGACAGGAAAGUCAGCCAAUGGCUCAGGCCUCACAGGACGGGAAGGACUUUUUGAGGUCACCAGAGCUCAGAGUCUAGUCCUCAGGUGGUUGUUUCAAAAAAUGGUUACUCUUUUGCUUUUAAAUUAUAAUUUUUUAAAAUGCUCAUUUUAAUACAUAGAAUUUUAGCAAGAAAUAUUUAUUGAGGUGUCCUCAACCCUACCACUUAUGCUCACCCCCUUCAUCAGGGAUGUUAAAAUGUUAGCAUUCUGAUAUGUAACUUUCUGUACCUUUUCUAAGCCUCUACAGCCAUGUUUGUGAAUAGAUUUGUUUUAGGUAUCUAGGGUUUUUUUUUAAAUAAUAAAAAGAUAUGUUUAUUAAAUAAUAAGAAGGAUCAUAAUAUAUACAUUUUUGUGCAACUUGUCUUUUGUCACUCCCAGUGUAUCAUAAACAUUCUUCAAGAACAACAAUGAUAGAUUUUUUUUAAUGGUUGCAUAAUAUGCCAUAAUAUGUACAUACCAUAAUUUGGUCAAUAGAUUUCCUGAUGAAGAUAUCUGGAUUGUGUCUGGACUUUUUUCCCAACAAUACUAACGCCAUAAUAAACAUUCUUGUAUUCAUAUCCUUACAUUUUUACUUCUUUAAGAUAAAUGAGAUUUUGGAUUGAAAUGUAUUUGUGUAUGGUAUUUAUAAUUUUAAAAAGUAUUUCCAGACUACUUUCCAACACUAUGAGAGAUUCUGUUUCCCCAUAUUCUGGUAAGCAAUAGACGGUAAAAAUAAAAUUUGUUUUGUUUUUGCCUAUUUGAGGAGUAAAAAAAAUGGUACUUCAUUGUUUUACUUACAUAU